This 855-nucleotide ribosomal RNA is filed under the name Staphylococcus auricularis. RNAcentral describes it as "bacterial SSU rRNA". It matches the Rfam family "Bacterial small subunit ribosomal RNA", at positions 21 to 859 of the family's 1533-position model. The record is from RNAcentral. Lineage: Bacteria; Bacillati; Bacillota; Bacilli; Caryophanales; Staphylococcaceae.
AGCUCAGGAUGAACGCUGGCGGCGUGCCUAAUACAUGCAAGUCGAGCGAACAGAUAAGGAGCUUGCUCCUUUGACGUUAGCGGCGGACGGGUGAGUAACACGUGGGUAACCUACCUAUAAGACUGGAAUAACUCCGGGAAACGGGGCUAAUGCCGGAUAACAUGUUGAACCGCAUGGUUCUACAGUGAAAGGCGGCUUUGCUGUCACUUAUAGAUGGACCCGCGCCGUAUUAGCUAGUUGGUGAGGUAACGGCUCACCAAGGCAACGAUACGUAGCCGACCUGAGAGGGUGAUCGGCCACACUGGAACUGAGACACGGUCCAGACUCCUACGGGAGGCAGCAGUAGGGAAUCUUCCGCAAUGGGCGAAAGCCUGACGGAGCAACGCCGCGUGAGUGAUGAAGGUCUUCGGAUCGUAAAACUCUGUUAUUAGGGAAGAACAAAUGCGUAAGUAACUGUGCGCGUCUUGACGGUACCUAAUCAGAAAGCCACGGCUAACUACGUGCCAGCAGCCGCGGUAAUACGUAGGUGGCAGCGUUAUCCGGAAUUAUUGGGCGUAAAGCGCGCGUAGGCGGUUUUUUAAGUCUGAUGUGAAAGCCCACGGCUCAACCGUGGAGGGUCAUUGGAAACUGAAAAACUUGAGUGCAGAAGAGGAAAGUGGAAUUCCAUGUGUAGCGGUGAAAUGCGCAGAGAUAUGGAGGAACACCAGUGGCGAAGGCGACUUUCUGGUCUGUAACUGACGCUGAUGUGCGAAAGCGUGGGGAUCAAACAGGAUUAGAUACCCUGGUAGUCCACGCCGUAAACGAUGAGUGCUAAGUGUUAGGGGGUUUCCGCCCCUUAGUGCUGCAGCUAACGCA